Molecule: RNA transcript, 1861 nt
Organism: Brassica napus (rape)
Lineage: Eukaryota; Viridiplantae; Streptophyta; Magnoliopsida; Brassicales; Brassicaceae
Exons: 3
Source: RefSeq, a predicted model, not a curated record
GUUCGGUUGGAAUCGGUUUCGGUUCUUUUGCUCACCUUAUGAUUUGGCAAUAUGACAUGGGCCCCACACGGAAGCUUACAAAGCAACACGUGUCACGCUUAGCUGGCAAAAGAAUUACAGCUUACACACGUGGCACGCUUAGUUGGCUAAAAGAAUGGUUAUGAUUUUGCUUCCUUCCUUCCUUCACGGGUUUCGACGGCGACAAAGCAUUUUCGAACCUCUUUACGCGUGAAUCCUGUUUCUGCACACUCUGAGAGGAGGAGAUUCCAAAUUUCUCUCAUUCCUUCCUUCCUUCCGUGACGACGGUUUCAUGUCUAACACUUAAAACGCAGCGUUUUCGUUCCGUGUUUGUUUAUGAUCACGAAAGCUAAUCCCCAUAAUCUGGGUUAAGCUCCAAAAACAUCAAACAAACCAUGGACACUGGAGGAUUCUCCCGAACGAAUCACGAAUCCAACACCCAAAAACUCGAGAUCGAACCAUCACCAUCCGAUGAUCAUCAAUUCCACUCGAUGAACGCUCUCGAGAUCCUAAGAGAAACCGUUCGGAUCCUCCGCUACAACCUCGCCGCGUUCACGCUAACCUUACUCCUCCUGAUCUGCCCCGUCUCCGCGAUCCUCCUCCCCAACCUCCUAGUCGACCAAUCAGUCGUCAAUUCGCUCACCAUCCGCCUCGUCCUCCUCGCGAAAUCCAGCGGCUUGCCGUUACUACCUUUUGUUCGAAACUCGUGCCAGAAAUUCUCGGAAACAGCCGUCUCCUCCGCCGCGUGCUUCCCUCUCUUCGUCACUCUCUCGCUCUUAUCCAGAGCCGCCGUCGUCUAUUCCGUCGAUUGCACUUACUCGAGGAGGAGAGUCGUGGCCGCCAAGUUCGUUGUGAUCAUGCAGAGACUCUGGAAACGCCUCGUCUUCACUUACCUUUGGGUCUGCGUCGUGAUCGUCGUCUGCCUCACUUCCUUCUGCGUCUUCCUCGUUGCUGUUUGCAGCUCCUUCUUCGUUCUUGGCUUCUCUCCUGAUUUUAAUGCAUAUGGAGCUAUCUUUAUCGGUUUGGGGUUCUCUGUAGUGUUUGCGAAUGUGAUUAUUAUAUGCAAUACCACGAUUGUGAUCUCGAUUUUGGAAGACGUCUCCGGUCCAAGGGCGUUGGUGAGAGCGAAUGAUUUGAUCAAGGGGCAGACGCAGGUUGGGUUGUUGAUUUUUCUAGGGUCGACGAUAGGGUUGACGUUUGUGGAAGGGCUGUUUGAGCAUAGGGUGAAGAUUUUGAGCUACGGAGAUGGGUCUUCGAGGAUUUGGGAAGGUCCGCUGCUUGUGGUGAUGUAUUCGUUUGUGGUGCUUAUUGAUACGAUGAUGAGUGCGGUUUUCUAUUUUAGUUGCCGGUCUUAUAGUAUGGAAGCUGUGGAGGCUCUUGAGGCUUCGGGAGGUGGGACUCAGCCCAUUAUGGAGAUGGUGUCUCAAGAUUUGUCUCUUCUAUAAGAGUGUCUUUUCGGAUUUUCAAACGUUUAGUUUCGUUCUGUUUUCUUGGUUUCUAUACACAAAGAGAAGGAGCAAAGCAUGCUCCAAUGAUCAUUGUUUUCAGGAGUUGUGGGCGAGUUAAGCUGCCUCAUUUCUACUGUUGCAGGGGUGCGCUCGCAAUACCUGAUCAGCAAAACAAUUCUCACAACUGAGUAGGACUUUACUAUGUGAUUAAGUUUUGCUGGAUUUUGAUCUCAAGAGGGUGGAAAUAUCAUACGUUUUUCUUAGUGGAUAAGUCAAUGGAUACGUAGGCUUAAAUUGGCUCUGUUUUGGCAUAAAUCAUUUGGAUUUCUCCUGCAGAAUCAGUACAAUAUAUUUCCUUUGUUUGCAUUGAAGGUCAAUUGAACCUGAGAUCCGAA